This 403-nucleotide ribosomal RNA is filed under the name uncultured bacterium. RNAcentral describes it as "partial 16S ribosomal RNA". It matches the Rfam family "Bacterial small subunit ribosomal RNA", at positions 29 to 526 of the family's 1533-position model. The record is from RNAcentral.
AUUGAACGCUGGCGGCAGGCCUAACACAUGCAAGUCGAGCGAGCGGCGGACGGGUGAGUACUGUAUGGGGACUGCCCGAUAGAGGGGGAUAACUACUGGAAACGGUGGCUAAUACCGCAUACUAUCGGAUAACCCAUAUGGGAUUAGCUAGGGGGUAAGGUAAUGGCUUACUUAGGCGACGAUCCCUAGCUGGUCUGAGAGGGUGAUCAGGCGCACUAGGACUGAGAAACGGCCCAGACUCCUACGGAGGGAGCAGUGGGGAAUAUGGCACAAUGGGGGCAAGCCUGAUGCAGCCAUGCAGCGUGUAUGAAGGAGGCCCUAGGGGUGUGAAGUACUUUCGGUCGGGAGGCGUUACCGACAGAAGAAGCACCGGCUAAAUCCGUGCCAGCCGCCGCGGUAAUUC